RNAcentral lists this ribosomal RNA (274 nucleotides) under uncultured bacterium. RNAcentral's name for it is "partial 16S ribosomal RNA". It matches the Rfam family "Bacterial small subunit ribosomal RNA", at positions 523 to 796 of the family's 1533-position model. The record is from RNAcentral.
AUACGGAGGGUGCAAACGUUGCUCGGAAUCACUGGGCGUAAAGCGCGCGCAGGCGGGCUGAUAAGUUGGAUGUGAAAGCCUACGGCUCAACCGUAGAACUGCAUCCAAAACUGUCAGUCUAGAGUCUGGGAGGGGAAGAUGGAAUUAGUUGUGUAGGGGUAAAAUCCGUAGAGAUAACUAGGAAUACCAAAAGCGAAGGCGAUCUUCUGGAACAGUACUGACGCUGAGGCGCGAAAGCGUGGGGAGCAAACAGGAUUAGAAACCCUAGUAGUCC